Molecule: long non-coding RNA, 4660 nt
Filed under: Canis lupus familiaris (dog)
Lineage: Eukaryota; Metazoa; Chordata; Mammalia; Carnivora; Canidae
Description: lncRNA (ENSCAFG00000050493.1)
Source: RNAcentral
AGCUAAUCAUUUUAUUUUUAUUUACAUAUUUACAAGGAGCUUUAGGCUCACCCAGCACUUUCAGAGCAGUAAAGAGAAUCAAAAUCAAAACAUGGUCUUUGCCCCAAGAGCUUACAAUCUAUUUUCACUUUUCCAGUAUUUUCCAGAACUGUCCUAAAUGAGUCUUUUAGGAGACAGUUUGAAUAUACAAUAGUAAUUGCAAUAUCUGCAGAACCCAGACAACUCAGAAAUAAAUUUAUUUUAUCCCAGACAUAGCUAUCAGGGUUGUGAAUAUGUAAAUAGGUCCCAGCCUUUCACACCUGAAUGAAUGGAUUAUAUCCUGCAGAAACCUGCUUGGUUUGAGAGAUUUAAUUAAGACAGAAAUGCAAGAGUUUUCUUGGGACAAACAGGAUUACAGCAUUUCAUAGAUAAUAUGAAAAAUUUUAUAAACAUGUCACAGUCACAAAACUUAACAUUAGUUGGUUGGAUAUUCUUUCUGUGCUUCUGGGUGAAUCUGAAUUCAGCAAUGAGCAAAAAUCAUGAUAGCGAUGAAAUUCUUUGGCAGAGGGGAAUGGUAGUGCGCAAACCAGGACUCUUCCAGCAAACAAGCAAAUUGGAAAACUAAGAUUACAUACCCAGUAUUGACUACCAGAAACUUCAGUGAAGCCACUCAGAGUUAAAAAUGUCUCCAAAGAUGGGGCACCUGGGUGGCUUAGUCAGUUGAGUGCCUGACUCUUGGUUUUGGCUGAGUUCCUGAUCUCUCUGCUCAGCAGAGUCUGCUUGAGACCCUCUCUCUCUUUCUCCUUCUGCUACCCCCACCCAAAUAAAUAAAUAAUCUUAAAAAAAAAAAAAAAACUUCAACUAUGACUGCCUAUAUACAUAUGCAUUAAAACUAAGGGAAAUAAGAAUUAUAAUCUUCUUGAGGGCAAGGAACAUUUCCUAUCUUGGUGGGCACUGGGUUUUGGUCACUGUUGGCACCUCAUCCUCUUGCCUUCUAUGUGAUUUUCACAUUAUAUGUGAGUUAGAGCCUGCACCGCUUGCCUGGCCUGUGUGCUUCCAGAUUUCCCUGUUAUUCCCAGCAUAAAACUCGUGCUGCCCUCGGGUACUGCAAUUACAUCUCCGUCUUUACCACAAGACCAUGAAUUCUUUGAUGGUGUCUUUGAUCCCUGUAUCCCCAGAGCUUUGCCCAGAGCCUGACACAAAAUAGGUUUUUCAAUAAAUGCUGGUUGAUUGAAUAAAUGAAUUAAGGGAUGGAUAGAUAGAUGGAAUUAAUUGAACUGAACUAAUCAUAAAUGGUAAUUUUAUGUUCUAAACUUAAUCACUGUUCACUUUAACUCUCUCAGGAAAUCUAUUCAUGUUCCUCAUUUCUUUUCUCCCUAAAUACACAGGCAUCAAUUGAAUGAUUUUAAAGGGUGCCGUACUGAUUAGGAAUCCUACUUUUGCUCCCGAAAUAGACAUUUUAAAAAGUCCUUCUGUGUCUGUAUCACCAAAUAUUUCUUUGCAUAGGGUGAGUCACUGUUAUGCCACUCAAGAUUAAAAAUAAAUGGGCAACUUUGUUAUUUGGUUCCAUAGUAGUUAUUCAGAUAGGCUUUAAUAUCAUUAUAUUAUAUAUGAACAUUUUAUAUACAUAAUCCUUUCAUCUUUUAAAAGAGAAUCAUCUUUCAAAACACUCUGGAUUAAUCUAAAGUAUUUCAGAGAUUAAAAGGAGAAUUAUUUAAUUCCAUUUUGCAUGUGGAGAAUGUUAUUUCUGUUUGUAUGAAUAGUAAGUACAUUAAUGGCAUUUUUCUAUGCCCCCAUGCCAGGUAUUGUGUGAGAUGCGGGAGAUAGAGGGCGAUGAGAACAAAGGAAGGGUUAAUCUCUAACCUCAUGGAUCUCAGGUCUCACAAAUCCAGUGAUUCUGGAUGGCUAGAUGAUGUUCUUGAGAUUUCACAGUCAGAGGUACAAACUGUUCCCCACUUUCUGCGCCUCCCUGCUCACUGGUGUUUGGUGUGCGGUUCCAUGAGCCCUAUACUGUCUGUAAGCCACCAUCUCUAGCUUACUGCCUUCUGCCACACAUCAAGUUUUACAUAAAAGGGAAAAUUAAGCUCUCAUUCAACAAAUAAUUAUUGAGUAACUGUUAAGGUAAAAUGCAGAGUGCUAGAGGCAUAAUACAGUUUUUCAUCAGUCUUUUAAUAUCUUCCUGUCAAGCUACAGGAUGGGAAGCUGAGCGAGGGGAAUCAGGAAAUAGGAGCUUGUCAAGAAGAACACAAUUGAAGUCAGAAACCAGAAUCAACUCUUAAAAACAAUUAAAUCAGAAUUUUUUAUGUUACAAGGAAAAUCAUUCAUGCUUUGCCUUCCCUUAAAAGAAUAAUCACAAUGAAAACAUAAAUCUAUGGUAAGAGAGAUAGAUGGUGAAAGAAAGACACGCUUUCAUUUUUUUUCCCCUCGAAGCAUACAUCUGAAUUUAAUUGUGCAAAGUCAAUGGUGUCAAGAAAGUAGCAAGUGAGUUUUGUUUGCAAAAUUCCAAUUUGCAAAUGGAAUCAAUUACGGUAACACAAAGGCAUUUAUUGGCUAAUCUUCUAGAUAACUGAAUCAUAGUUUAAUCUCAAAAAUGUGUAUCCAUUUUCUCACCAAGCAAUACAUGCUGUCUUUUUCUUAAAUAUAGGGCACGAUGUCCUUUUGGUUAUUAAAGAAGUAAGCUACUGUCCGGAAACGAGAAUUUCCUGUCCUCUCAAGGUCCUUCUAGCUGGACUAAGAAUCAAACUGACAUGAGACAGAUUAACAGGAGAAACUAAAAUUUUAUUUUGUAUGUACAGGGAAUCCACACAGACAUGGUAAUUCCAAAGGCAGUCAAGCAAAAUGAGGUAUAUGUGGGGGUAGGGUCUGGGACUUUGAAAGGAAGGAAUGACUUCUCAGGGCAAUAAGAAGAACAGAUGUUUAGUAAUUAGUUGUUCGCCCUGCCAUACAGAUGGGUCACUCACAUAAAAUGUAUCUCUGAAAGUCACCAUUAUUCUGGCAAAUUUAGAUCCUUCUGUGAAGUUAAUGGAGGGGUAAAAACUUAAAACAAUCUUAAUACCCUCGGCUCCUACAGUUCAGAUGUGUUCUUGUUGUUUUUCAAAAGGCAAUUCAACAAAAAUCUUAAGGAAUAAAGCAGUGACCUAUAGUAAAGUAUCAUAUUUUAACACUAGACCCAGUUGCCAUAACAGCAAAAUGUAUCUUGCUUUAAAUCAUAGAUUAUCAGGGAUUCUUUCUCAUCUAAUGACCUAAAACACGAUCCACAACUCUCCUUGGUCCUUCUAUGGGAAAUGCAGCUGAAAUGACACCAGUCACUGACUUCCUUUUAUUUAGUUCCUGAAACUUUGAAAAAAGGUCAGAUUUGGGGAGGGUCUACUUUAUCUUUAAACAGAGUGUAUAUAAAAUGUGAAAAAUUUAAAAAAGAGCUUCAUUUGAAACUUUCAAACUGGAAGAAGAGAGGGCUCACAGAUUUAGUGAUGGCAUAGCAGCUUUCACUGUGAGGUUCCUGGCAUGGGUUCUGCCUAAAUCAGCAGUUAUCAGAAUUGCUACCAACUAGAAAAAAAAUAAUCUCUCACAUUGCUGAAUUAUUGGUACAAUGAGCAAUCUCAGUGGCAACAAGAGUCAACAUGGGCCCAAAGAAUUAAUCUUUCAGAUUGUUUUUUCUCUGUAACAUUUAUUGAUGGGAGAAUAAUAAUAAUAACAAAAGGAUGCUGUCCAUCAGUAAUGACUAGUUAAAUCUAAUAUUUCUAUUUCUGGGGGCACCUGGGUGGCUCAAUGGUUGAGCGCCUGCCUUCGACUCAGAUUGUGAUCCAGGGCCCAGGGAUCGAGUACCGCGUCAGGCUCCCUGCAUGGAGCCUGCUUCUCCCUAUGCCUGUGUCUCUGCCUCUCUCUCUCUCUGUCUCUCAUAAAAUAAAUAAAUAAAUAAAUAAAUAAAUAAAUAAAUAAAUAAAUAAAUAAAUCUUUUUUAAAAAUAAUACUUUUAUUUCUGACUCAAAUUCAGUCAACUAAGUGCAGUCAUUUGUCUAAUUCUCAUGUAACUAGAAGAGGUGUUGUUCUAUAGGUAAAUUAGACAAGAAACUUGAGAUACACACCUAUACUAAAGUGUGGAAAGUAGUCAGUACAAUAAAUACAAAUAAGUAACAUUUUUAAGAAAAAUAAAAAAAAACUCCAUAAAAGUUUGGGGUGAGAAAAGUUACUUCCAGCUAAGGAGCUCAAAUAAAAAUAUAAAAGUCAGGUUGGGCCUUCAAAGACUUACAGAACUGCACUAUCUGUAGAUGGAAAGAACGAAGGAUAAAGGGGGUACUUAUAGGCAAGGUUACUAUAUGGCUUCUGCGUGUUUAUGCAGCAGGACAAAAAUGAUAAAUGUUUACAUCUCCUCAGUCUCCUACCACUUCACUGUCUUUGCCCCUUAUCAGCUUCUUCCCCCUUCCACCCCAACCUCUAAAUAGGAUUGCCCAACUGGAAGAUAUUGAGUUAACAGACAAAAAAAGAAAUGGAAGACAAUUAAGAAUAAAGUCCAGGAAUACUAGGAGGAGAGAAGCACUUUCUUUAGAAGACUUGAAAAGGGAGCAGUGCCCUACGGAGGCAGUGGGUAACAGGCAUUUGUUCCCACAACAGUCACAUAACAUUUUACUUUCCUUUACAGGUAUGAUGUUGAAGCUCCAAGAAGUGAGUAACCAACCUUGUU